UUCGAUUCUGGCUCAGGAUGAACGCUAGCUACAGGCUUAACACAUGCAAGUCGAGGGGCAUCAUUGGGAUAGCUUGCUAUUCAGAUGGCGACCGGCGCACGGGUGAGUAACGCGUAUCCAACCUUCCCCUUAGUAGGGCAUAGCCCGGCGAAAGUCGGAUUAAUACCCUAUGUUGUAUAUUGAGGACAUCUGAUUUAUACCAAAGAUUCAUCGCUAAGGGAUGGGGGAUGCGUCCGAUUAGGUAGUCGGCGGGGUAACGGCCCACCGAGCCAUCGAUCGGUAGGGGUUCUGAGAGGAAGGUCCCCCACACUGGUACUGAGACACGGACCAGACUCCUACGGGAGGCAGCAGUGAGGAAUAUUGGUCAAUGGGCGAGAGCCUGAACCAGCCCAGUAGCGUGCCAGGAAGACGGCCCUAUGGGUUGUAAACUGCUUUUAUCAGGGGAUAAAGUGAGGGACGUGUCCCUUAUUGCAGGUACCUGAUGAAUAAGGACCGGCUAAUUCCGUGCCAGCCGCAGC
Molecule: ribosomal RNA, 518 nt
Filed under: uncultured bacterium
Lineage: Bacteria
Description: bacterial SSU rRNA
Rfam family: Bacterial small subunit ribosomal RNA
Source: RNAcentral